UACGGAGGAUCCAAGCGUUAUCCGGAUUCAUUGGGUUUAAAGGGUGCGUAGGCGGAAUGAUAAGUCAGCGGUGAAAUCCCUCGGCUUAACCGAGGAACUGCCGUUGAUACUGUCAAUCUUGAGUACAUUUGAUGUGGGCGGAAUGUGUCAUGUAGCGGUGAAAUGCUUAGAUAUCGGGAGGAACACCAAUGGCGAAGGCAGCUCGCUGGGACGUUACUGACGCUGAGACGCGAAAGCGUGGGGAGCAAACAGG
This 253-nucleotide ribosomal RNA is filed under the name uncultured bacterium. RNAcentral describes it as "partial 16S ribosomal RNA". It matches the Rfam family "Bacterial small subunit ribosomal RNA", at positions 524 to 776 of the family's 1533-position model. The record is from RNAcentral.